GGAUUUUCAACCUGCAUAAAUACAUUACAAAAUGCAUAAAAAAAAACUGAAUCACAACACAGCAUAACUACAUUCCAACAGAAAAACCACACAAUGCACUAGAGCCACCAUGUAAUAAAACAACCGGAACAGUAUCCAUAUGAUCCAUAUCAGUUAGGCAAGGCCCAUAACAGUAUAGAACAAUGGUCAAACAAGAAGCAGAGAGUACGCAUGGAAGCCAAGUUCGAAUGCAAGCUAAAGAUGUUGUUGUGGAAGGAUUUCCUUCUGUGGGAGUCUAUGAUCCAGGGGUUGCAUCUCCAGUAUCUAGUCAAUGAACAAAGGCCCGAGAUGAACAUGGAGCUGCAGCAAUGCAAGAUAAAUUAUACAUGUACGGUAGAAAUCACAAUAGUCGUUACCUUAGUGAUCCUCAUGUUUUGGAUUUGAGAAGACGAGCAUGGUAAAGGCUCGAGGCUAAAACUGGAGACGAACCCUCUACAACUUUGGACCCUUGUGCUGGCCAUUCUUUGAUUGCAUGGGAAAAUAAGCUCCUGUCUAUUGCUGGCCACGAAAAAGAUCUCUCAGAAAGUAUCCAAGUGAAACAGUUGAUCUGCAAACAGCAACUAUGGGAAACCUCCAAACCAGUUCUUGAAUGACCCUGCAUAAUAAAUAGAUUUUCAAAACCGGCAACCGAAAUCAAAAACUUCCAGAGCAAAACUUAUAAUCGAAACUUCUCCCAUAAUUAACUUCUUUCAAAAAAUAGCAUAAGAGAAUCACCCUCAAACCCCUAACAGUUUUUGAACCAUUGGAACCAAUACCUAACAGAAUCGAAACCGCAUAACAAUCUCCAACUUUUAUAACAACUCCAAACCGCUUUCUAACUAACCAACCGCAUUCCAACAAACUUCCCUAACCGAAUCUCACUCCCUCUUAAUAAAACUUUAACCAUUUUCAACAAUAAAAAGGAAAUCCUCCAUCACAAUCCGGGGGAGGAUAACUUCCAUCAAUUCUUCAACCUGUAAGCUCAACCUUCAUAUCAUUUUUUUCAUCUUCCAAACUGAACCAAUCUUCUUCACUUUCCAACUUCUCCUUCACCUUCACUCCAAACCUCCCUCAAAAUUCUGGCAACAAACUGAUAUAACAGAACCACAAAACCUCCUCUCGAACCUCUUCAUCACCUUCACUCCACAAUUGAUAACAGAUUCCUAACCACCCUCACAAGAACCAACUAUGAAUCUCCUGUAACUCCCCCUAACCUCUUCAAUGCCAACAGAAUCAACCUCCCCGUAACUGGAACCAACCUCCACAACAGAAUUCCGAUCAACCACCAAUCACAACCAGAAAAACGGAAACAGAAGCAAGAAAGAAGGAAGGUUGGAGGAAAAGAAAAAGAGAAGACUCACGGCAAUUUAGAGGGCCUCAUUUGUGACAAUUGGGAUUCACCGAAAAGAGUUCAAGAAGUGAUUUUCUUCACUCUUCAGAAGAAAGACGAUUCAU
RNAcentral lists this long non-coding RNA (1473 nucleotides) under Lathyrus oleraceus (garden pea). Its description in RNAcentral is "Pisum sativum (pea) long non-coding RNA (PSAT_LNC041936)". Lineage: Eukaryota; Viridiplantae; Streptophyta; Magnoliopsida; Fabales; Fabaceae. The record is from RNAcentral.